RNAcentral lists this ribosomal RNA (538 nucleotides) under uncultured Staphylococcus sp. RNAcentral's name for it is "bacterial SSU rRNA". It matches the Rfam family "Bacterial small subunit ribosomal RNA", at positions 330 to 859 of the family's 1533-position model. The record is from RNAcentral. Lineage: Bacteria; Bacillati; Bacillota; Bacilli; Caryophanales; Staphylococcaceae.
CCUGCCCGCCUACGGGAGGCAGCAGUAGGGAAUCUUCCGCAAUGGGCGAAAGCCUGACGGAGCAACGCCGCGUGAGUGAUGAAGGUCUUCGGAUCGUAAAACUCUGUUAUUAGGGAAGAACAAAUGUGUAAGUAACUAUGCACGUCUUGACGGUACCUAAUCAGAAAGCCACGGCUAACUACGUGCCAGCAGCCGCGGUAAUACGUAGGUGGCAAGCGUUAUCCGGAAUUAUUGGGCGUAAAGCGCGCGUAGGCGGUUUUUUAAGUCUGAUGUGAAAGCCCACGGCUCAACCGUGGAGGGUCAUUGGAAACUGGAAAACUUGAGUGCAGAAGAGGAAAGUGGAAUUCCAUGUGUAGCGGUGAAAUGCGCAGAGAUAUGGAGGAACACCAGUGGCGAAGGCGACUUUCUGGUCUGUAACUGACGCUGAUGUGCGAAAGCGUGGGGAUCAAACAGGAUUAGAUACCCUGGUAGUCCACGCCGUAAACGAUGAGUGCUAAGUGUUAGGGGGUUUCCGCCCCUUAGUGCUGCAGCUAACGCA